UGCUUGUGCAUGCAUUAAUAUGGGUACAUGUUUGUGUAUACUUACAAGUGUGUGCAUGCAUAAAUGUGGAAACAAUAGUACAACCUCUUAUGCUGUUUCUCUGAUUUUGUCCAUUUUGAUUUUUUUAAAUUAAAAUCUCUCACUGGCCUGGAACUUGUCAAGUACACUAGGCUGGCUGGCCAAAAAGCCUUCAGGGAUCUAUUGGUUUCAGCCGCCCAAUGCUGAGAUUACAAGAAUGUGUCACCAUACCCAGAUAGUCCACAUGAACCCCAUGGGUCAAACCACGUCCUCCUGUUUGCUUCACACUUGCUAAAUGAUCUAUGUCCCCAGCUUUCCUUUCCAUCAGCUCUUAAUGUAUACUAGCUCCUACACCUCACAGUGAUCCAAAUUUUUGAACUUGAUUAAUAGAAUGACCCUGAACCAAGCAGAGCAGCCCGGGCAUGGUAUCUUCAUUCCAGCCCAAGAUGCUUCUUGGAUGCACACAGCAUCAAUCAUCCUCAAAUUGCUUCUCUGACUGUGUUGUUUGCAUAUAAUAUGUUUUCCAUGAAUUUUCUUCCUUUCUAGAGAAUAUUCUACUCCAGCCCCUGACUUAAAAGUAGUGAUCAAAUGAAUGCUCCAAGAAGAACCUCUCUCUGAGGAUGAGACUCAUUAUCACUCUAAAGCAGACUCUACUUUCAGAUAUAUGUAUGAUGGGUGAUUUUUAUUUGAGAUGAAAGCAUAUACCUAAUCAAGUAGCAUCAUGAGGGCACUCCUGCCUUUGGUAAGAAUCCACCCAGUGUAGCUGUAUUAAUCAGGGUUCUCUAGAAGAACAGAAAUGAUAGAAUGAAUAUAUAUUACAAAGGGGAUUUGUUAUAUUGUCCUGACUGUCCAACAAUGGCUAUAUUCAUACUUGAGAGGUAGAAAUCAUCUAUGAGGCUGGGAGUCUCAGCAAUCCAACUCUGAUGUGGAAGACCUGGAGGAUUCAUAGACAGCCAUUCAUUUUUAGUCCAUGUUAGAAGGUCAGCACAGCUGGGUUCUGAUGUCAUGGAAUGAUGGGGGUACCAGAAGCAGCAAUAUAAUUGAUGUACUCACCAGCAAGUAGUGAAGAGAGGUAGGAGAAAACAGUGGCUUUUUCCUCCAGCCUCUUAUGUCUUGUUACACCCACUCUGGGGUAGGAUCUUAUGUUCUGGGCUAGUCGUUUUAGUAAUUCUGUUAAGACCUGGAAGAGGUGUGUUUCUUAGUUGAUUGCAGAUCCAGUGUCAGGGCUUUUGUUGGCAAGGUCUUUUCUCUCCUUCAUGAUCCAACCAAUUUUCUUCUGCUUUUGUACUUUGAUUUCAUAGUGCUCCAAGACCAGGCUGUUCACCUCACAUGACAUAUGACUUGCUGAUUUUGUGUGUAUCCAUUUGUUCUUACCACUGUGGUUUCAUAGCAGUACACCUUGUGAUUUCAUGCUUUGGAGACUCUCAGUUGCUUCAGACAAUCUGACUAUAUGUACAUGAUAUGGCCUCUAUUUCUUCAUCUCAAACUCCAGGGAGAUGGUUGUAAGGCUUAUUCUGUAUAUUCUGAUAUAAUAUAGAGUAGCAAUGAAUGCUGUGUAGCAGACAUAGAGAAAGAAAAUGAGUUUUUCCAUUCAGCAAGCAAUGGAUCUAUCUAGCUACACCAUGUCCUAUUCUAGUUAGCCCCAGAUUUCUGUUUAACUCAUGACUCCAGGAGUGAGAACUCACCAUUGGCAAAGCACGACUCUUUUAGAAUUGGAGUAGAAGUUAUUUGCAGAUAAGCAAAGUCUCCAGGUGCUGGCAACAGUCCUGAACAGGUGCUGUCCUUAACAGGGGACAGGGGCUGUUUGGAAGCAGCUCUUCAUGCAGGAUGGUUUGCAUUUCUGACCAGCAUCUAACAUUGUUGUUGAAAACAUGCUAGAGACAGGUAUAUGUGGUAUGGGGGAUAUCAGGGGAGCAUGAAUCUGCUCAACAAGAGGCUAUUUCAUGACUGUGAUGCUCAUUAAGGGGGAGGGAAAGGAAGAGAUUGUUAACAAGAAGAGAAGGGGAAUGAAGUGAAGGAAAAGAGCCAGGAGAGAGUGGAAGAGAAAGGGAGGGGGCUUCUGCAGUUUCUGAGGCUCUUCUUUCAUAGCGAAGUAGGUAUUUUCCACCUUCAUGUGGAAAUUGUCUUUUUUCUUUUUUGUCCCAUGUAAGCUCCCAGUUUACCUUGUCCUUUUGUAUAUGUUCUAUUAAGCAGUUUUUUUGCUGCACCAAAUAUAUUUUAAUAUCCAAGCUUUUAGAAAAGAAAGGAGAAUAAAAAAAAAAAGACCAAAGAAAAGCUUUGGGGUUGCUAUAAAAAGAAUUUAAUUAGAUGACUAGCUAUAGGCUCUUCUUGCAUCUGUAUUUUGGGAAAGGGAGGCAUGAUUUUGUCCUUUGAGUUACAUAAAGUAUAUUUUUAUAUUAAGAACAUCUUGUAUCUACAGGUGAAUUAACAUACACAUUGAAAAUAGAUAAAUUUAGAGCUCUGAAAGACCUUGAGGAUAAGGGGACAUGGAGUGAUGGCUAAGUGGUUAAGAGUACUUAAUGCUGUUCCAGAGGACCCACAUUUAGUUCCCAGUACCCAGUGGCUUACGACCAAUUAUAACUCCAGCUCCAGGAUAGCUGAUGCCUGCUUGUGGCCACCAUGAAACUUCAACGUUGUGAGUGCAGCAUGGUGGUAUGUGCUUAGAAUCUUGGUGCUAUGGACAGAGACAGGUACAUCUCUAGGGUUCUCGGAUCAGCCAGUCUAGUAUACUUGACAAGUUCCAGGCCUGUGAAAGACAAUGUCUGAAAAAAUAAGGUGGGCAGCUCCUGAGGAACAACACCUAAGAUUGUCUUUUGUCUUCCACAUGUAGUUGCAUAUACAUGAACUACACACAGACACAGAGGGUAUGGGGAUGUGUGGAGGAAAGAGAAGAUGUUUGCCUGAAAUGAGAGAUGUGUGGAGGAAAGAGAAGAUGUUUGCCUGAAAUCCUAAUAUGAUUUCUAAUCUUAUCCAGGGUCAGCUUUAUUCCCCAACAUUCUGCAUCUGUAAUCUUUUGUGAUGACCAUAAGUGUGUUUUCAGAGCCUAUGUUUAUCAUAAAAGGAGAGAAUUUUAAUGUUGGAAAUGCCAUCAAGGUUCUAAAGCCUGGCCUUUGUGCUUACUCCAGUAUCUCUUUGUGUGUCUCCUGCAUCAGACACCUGGUGUUGCAGUAAGCCCAGAAGAGAAGACUGGGGUACUUUAGAAAGUUAGGCUACCUAUGGAAGACAUGACUCAUGAGUAGAGAUUUCAGCUGAAGGCAUACUAAAGCCAUUUUUAUGUAAACAGUUGCUCAUUUAGGCAGCAAAUAAAGGAAUCUGCUUUGAUAAAUCACCCAUAAACAAUAUAAACUGAAAAGUCUAAGUAAAAAUGGUCUGUGUCUAAAAGAUUAUUUGAGCCCAGCAAGGUGGCUUGGUGGGUAAAGGUAUUAAUUGCAAAGAAGGAAAACACAAGUUGGAUCCCCUGGGCUCCUCAUCAUAGACAGAAAGAACUAACUCCUACAGGUUGUCCUUUGACCUCCUCAUGCACACACACACUGUGCAAUAAAUAAUGUGAUUUUACAAUACUCUUUUAAAAUUUAAACCGUGUUUAGUUGUUCUUUGGAACCAGGCUAAUUUGUUGACUGGUAAAAGUUCAGAUUGAUGCAUGAAAUUCUUGAUUGCUAGUGUUGCUUCACUUCUGUGUGUGUGUGUGUGUGUGUGUGUGUGUGUGUGUGUGUGUGUGUGUGUGUAAAUAGGUAUGUAUGUCCACAUGUUCAUGUUCAUGUGGGUGCAUGUGUGUGAUUGCAUGUGGAGGCUAGAGGUUGACCUCAGUGUCUUACCUUAAGCUUAUUCAUCUUGUUUUGUGAGACAGGGUCUCUCACUAGCCUGAGUAUUUCAGUUGGGCUGGGUAACCAGAGAGCCCCAGAAUCUGCACAUCACUGCCUCCCCAUUACAAGGAUUACAAAUGCAUGGCAUUAUACCUAGCAUCUUCCCCAGGCUGUGGGCAUCAAACUUGAGUUCUUGAUUGUGUGAUGAACACUUUACCAAUUUGAACCCCACCCCACCCCCAGACCUCUCCUUUUCUUUUUCAGUUUUAGUCUUAAUCCACAGUCCUGCCUGGCCUCUACCAUUCUUUCUGGUGUUACUCUACUCUGUUUCCGGUUGGUCUCCUUCUUCAUGCUGGUGCUGUGCUGAUACACAGAUUCAAGCCAUUCUUUCCUGAAUAUUAAGCUCAGAAAAGUGUCUCAUUUACAAACAUCAAGUGGAUUGGAGCAAAAUUGUUGGGUGCCUUUAAAGUUCUGUUUUAUUGGUAUUUGGAUCUCGAAGAUGCUCAGCCUUUAGGUGGCAACUGAGGAGGGAGUAACUUAAACCAUCAGGACCGAUCUGCCACAGCUCUGCCAGGGCAAGAGCUCAAGGCAGGAACCUGGAAACAGGAACUGAAGCAGAGAACGUGAAGGGACUUGCUGCUUAUUCUCCAUGGCUUGCUCAGCCUGCUUUCCUAGACCUCCCAGGACCACCCACAGUAUGCUGAGGCCUCACACAUCAACCAUUAAGAAAAUGCCCCUACAGAUCUGCCUACUGGCCAAUCUGAUUGGAAGAAUUUGGUAAGUUUGAGGUUCUCCUUCCCCAAUUGAUCCUGGCUUGUGUCCUGUUGACAAAAACCUAACCAGUCCAAUGGAUUACUCAACAGAGUGAGGAUGGAACUUCUGAUCUUCCCACCUCGGACUCCUGGGUUCUGGGAUUAUAGGUACAACCACCACACCCAGUUUAUCCAGUGCUAUGGAUCGAAUGGAUUGAAGCCAGGGCUGUGCACAUGCUAAGCAAACAUUCUACCUACUGAGCUAUAGCCUCAACCUGGAGCUGAGUACUUUUCAAAUGGAUAAUUUGGUAAUUUAGUAAUUCUUCUUGGAGGUUUGCUCAACUCUGGCUGUGCAUUGUUUUGGGAGCUUCCUUCUUUCUCCAGCUCUGUUUCUUGUACAAGCAGCAUUCACACUACCUGAGAACUCAUUAGAAAUGCAGAAUUUCACGUCCCCCUCAGAUCCAUGAGCAAGGAGUUUUAGAAACACUUGCAUGUAGUUUAUGUGUAUAGGAUGGUUUAUCAUUUCUUUAGUUGACGUUGGAGCAAGCUCUUUACCUUCUGCUUUUUCCUCUGCCUCCAUCUAACUGGGAGACAAUACCCAAUGCUCUUGGCUUCCAGACUGUGCUCCUGGAUGCUCUCCAUCCAUAAACUAAAAGCCUUAAUCACACAGAAGGGACUCCCAUGAGGCCCGAACAAGUCUCUUUUUAUUAGUUUUUUAGGAAACAGGCUUUAACAUAAGACACUAUUUGAAGAAAAGAUUUGCCUAUGAAACAGAUUCAAGGCUCACUAUCACUGAAGACUUACAAAGUCACUCACAGGUCAAAUUUUUCUGUUAGUAUAACAACUCUCAUGGUUAGAAAAUUGUGUGUGUGUGUGUGUGUGUGUGUGUGUGUGUGUGUGCAUGUUUUCAGAUACAGUUCUGUGUAUGAGGGAUCCACAUACAUGUGUGUAAGAGGCUAGAGGACAACUUGGAUGUUGUCCCAUGGGUACUGUUCCCUUUUAAAAAAAAAGAUUUAUUUUUAUUUUAUGUGCACCUGGGGCCUUCAGAGCUCAGAAGAAGGCAUUGGAUUCUCUACAAUUGAAAUUAUAGAAGAUCAUGAACUCUCAUGAGGAUGCUGAAAAUCAAAUCUCAGUCCUUUGGAAGAGCAGCUAGUGCUCUGAACCACUGAGGGAAUCUCUCCAGGAUCUCUCACUGGCCACUUGCUUGUUGGUUUGUCAGAGAAGCCCAGGGAUCUACCUGUCUCCACCUCCGCAGCACUGGCUCAGUCACCCAGUGUAGCCAUUAUAUGGGAUCUGGAGACUGAACUCAAGUCCUUAUGCUUGCAUGGGAAAUGCUUUACUCACUAAGCUGUCUCCUCAGCCUCUGAACUUUUUUCUUUUAAUUAAGAGGAAAAUCUUUGUACACAUGCCAAGUUAAUACUAGUCAGGAACCAAGGUCAGCAGAGAAGGCAGCUUCCUCUGGUGGCUUCCAUGAACAGGGCCCAGAAGCUCUACCUGUCACUGGAUUGUCCAAAGGCUUCCUCAGUCUCAGUGGCAUACUAUAUCAUCCUCACACCAGCAGACAUGCUAAGAACAUUGCCCUAACACCCUAUAGGAGGAGUUGGAGUCAUUGACCUUUAUUCAAUCAUCUGUGUCAAUGCUGGUUUUGUGGCCUUUAGGCAUUUGUUGAUCACUGCUAUUUAAUUUGCAUGCAUAGAUCCAACAAGGAAAUUGGGAGGGGUGACAUUGAGUGCCAACUUCUUUUCCAGAGGAAAAGUUCCAGGGCUCAAGUUCACAUCAUUCUCAUCAGGCAGCUCACAGUUGCCUAUCACUCUAAUUCAAGGGAAUCUUCUGCCUUCUGCAGACACCUACCCUCACAUGCAAGUCAGUACACACACACACACACACACACACACACACACACACACACACACACCCUCAAAAGUAAUCAAACUGAAUCUUUCACAUCAAUAGCAUGUGAUUGCUUCGCAGGCCUGUAACAUAGAGCCAUCUUCUACCUUUUGUACUUUCCAUCUGCAUAGCUGCUUCAGCCUAUUACUUAUUUAUAUGUUUAUUGACUUUAGAUGACAUGUUUACUCCAAGGAUCUCAGGCAACGGAAGGAUUUGUUUUAGAAGUCUACAAAAUAGAUCCUUACUUGUUCACCUAUGGGACAUGCAGUCAUUUUGCAUUCUACUUUAUAUAUUGUGGUUGGGUUAUUAUAAAAAAUGUUCACAUCUUUAAAUCUUCCCAGGUGUCUAUACAUUUCCCUUGCAAGAUACAACUACCAAGCAAAAAGAAGAAAAAAAAAACUACUGAAAAGACAGACCAAUGUUCUUGUCUUAGAAAAAUCAAUCUCAUCAGUAGCUCAUGAAAUUCAAUUACCCUGGUCAGGAACAAAGCAGAUAAUCAUCACUUAAUAAUAUUUAUAGAUAAUAAAAAAAAUGCAGAGUAAAUAAAAUUAGCCUCUGAAACCAUGAACAAAUUUUUAAAAACUUUUUUGUUUAUCUCAGGAGGAUUUAUGAAAUCUGGUAAGUGUGUCUUUCUCCAUUUUUAUUUGAGCCCACAGACAUCAGAGGAACUCAGAAGGUAUUUGUUGGAUGAGUGCAGGUGAUAAAAUGGGAUAGUGACACAGUGACCUCUAAUUUGGACAUAACGAGUUCAUAGAGAUUACUUCCUAAAGGAAGUUGCUUAAAGGUAAAACUAUAUUGGCUGCAUGGAUGCUACUGUUUUGUCUGCAUAAACUACUGGAGAGUAGUAGCAGAUGUAUCAGGAGAUGACGGAGAUAAAUGCAGAUCUUCAUUAUGUAAGACAGAAAAAUGGAAUAGUUAAAAAAAUAAGCACCAUGGGGCUGGGAAAAUGGCUUAGUCAGUAAACUGUGUCUGAAUUAGACCUGAAUUUCUAUACCCAGAACCCACAUAAAAAGCAGGUGUGGGGAUGCACACUUGAAAUCCAGCACUAGAGAGGAGGAAUAAACAUUUCUAAUCUCAGCACUAGGAAUUGUCAUUCAAAUGACCACCUGUAACACCAUUGCUGGGCAGGGGGAUGCACACCUUGUCAUCUCACCAUAGAUAUGGAUCUAAAGCAUCUGGAGCAUGGAUCCAUCAGCCUAGACAUUUUUAUACUGUAUUAGUACUCAUAAAUGUAGGGCUUUUCUUUCUUCUUAUUUGCUUGUGAACAUGGAUGAUGAGUGUUUUAAUUCUUGAAUACUCAUUGGUUUCUAUAGUCUUUCCACAUAAUAAUAUCUUCACUUAAUCAUCUUGUAGAUGUUAGAAUUUGAGGAAGCUGUAAUGUGGAGAUGCUGUCAAUAGGUGGUUCUAUCUUGUGAAGCUAAGCAAAGUGCUUUAAUCUAAUGAACAUUCAA
Long non-coding RNA from Peromyscus leucopus (white-footed mouse), 7914 nucleotides. RefSeq lists it as uncharacterized. The record is from RefSeq and is a predicted model, not a curated record. The transcript has 3 exons. NCBI's taxonomy places the organism in Eukaryota, Metazoa, Chordata, Mammalia, Rodentia, Cricetidae.